GAUCCUGGCUCAGAACGAACGCUGGCGGCGUGGAUAAGACAUGCAAGUCGAACGAGAGAAUUGCUAACUUGCUAAUAAUUCUCUAGUGGCGCACGGGUGAGUAACACGUGAGUAACCUGCCCCCGAGAGCGGGAUAGCCCUGGGAAACUGGGAUUAAUACCGCAUAGUAUCGAAAGAUUAAAGCAGCAAUGCGCUUGGGGAUGGGCUCGCGGCCUAUUAGUUAGUUGGUGAGGUAACGGCUC
Molecule: ribosomal RNA, 242 nt
Filed under: uncultured bacterium
Lineage: Bacteria
Description: partial 16S ribosomal RNA
Rfam family: Bacterial small subunit ribosomal RNA
Source: RNAcentral